GUCUAUAGCCAUACUACCCCCUUAAAUGUGCCCAAUCUUUCUUAAUCUUGGAAGCUAAGCAGAUCAGGCCUGGUCAGUAUUUGGAUGGGAGACUGCCUGGAGAUUCUGGGUUCUGUAGGCU
Molecule: ribosomal RNA, 121 nt
Organism: Mesocricetus auratus (golden hamster)
Lineage: Eukaryota; Metazoa; Chordata; Mammalia; Rodentia; Cricetidae
Source: Ensembl